AUUGAACGCUGGCGGCAUGCCUUACACGUGCAAGUCGAACGGUAACAGGUCUUCGGAUGCUGCCGAGUGGCGAACGGGUGAGUAAUACAUCGGAACGUGCCCGAUCGUGGGGGAUAACGCAGCGAAAGCUGUGCUAAUACCGCAUACGAUCUACGGAUGAAAGCGGGGGAUCGCAAGACCUCGCGCGGACGGAGCGGCCGAUGGCAGAUUAGGUAGUUGGUGGGAUAAAAGCUUACCAAGCCGACGAUCUGUAGCUGGUCUGAGAGGACGACCAGCCACACUGGGACUGAGACACGGCCCAGACUCCUACGGGAGGCAGCAGUGGGGAAUAUUGGACAAUGGGCGCAAGCCUGAUCCAGCCAUGCCGCGUGCAGGAUGAAGGCCUUCGGGUUGUAAACUGCUUUUGUACGGAACGAAAAAGCUCUCUCUAAUACAGGGGGUGAAUGACGGUACCGUAAGAAUAAGCACCGGCUAACUACGUG
Molecule: ribosomal RNA, 482 nt
Filed under: uncultured bacterium
Lineage: Bacteria
Description: partial 16S ribosomal RNA
Rfam family: Bacterial small subunit ribosomal RNA
Source: RNAcentral